AAGUCCCUCUAUCUCCAAAAAAGUCCAUUUUAUUUCC
RNAcentral lists this transfer RNA (37 nucleotides) under Dioscorea esculenta (lesser yam). RNAcentral's name for it is "partial tRNA-Leu". Lineage: Eukaryota; Viridiplantae; Streptophyta; Magnoliopsida; Dioscoreales; Dioscoreaceae. The record is from RNAcentral.